RNAcentral lists this unclassified non-coding RNA (170 nucleotides) under Basidiomycota sp. Its description in RNAcentral is "partial contains small subunit ribosomal RNA, internal transcribed spacer 1, and 5.8S ribosomal RNA". The stretch from base 1 to 47 matches the Rfam family "Eukaryotic small subunit ribosomal RNA", at positions 1785 to 1831 of the family's 1831-position model. Lineage: Eukaryota; Fungi; Basidiomycota. The record is from RNAcentral.
AAAGUCGUAACAAGGUUUCCGUAGGUGAACCUGCGGAAGGAUCAUCGUCGUUGGUGUUUGUGGGGGGUGUGCAUCUAACUUUUGGAUCCCAACCAGGAGGAGAGGAGUUGACUGAGGGCUGUUUGUGGAGAAAAAGGACAAAACUUUCAACAACGGAUCUCUUGGCUCUC